RNAcentral lists this ribosomal RNA (484 nucleotides) under uncultured bacterium. RNAcentral's name for it is "partial 16S ribosomal RNA". It matches the Rfam family "Bacterial small subunit ribosomal RNA", at positions 29 to 507 of the family's 1533-position model. The record is from RNAcentral.
AUUGAACGCUGGCGGCAUGCUUUACACAUGCAAGUCGAACGGCAGCGCGGGCUUCGGCCUGGCGGCGAGUGGCGAACGGGUGAGUAAUACAUCGGAACGUGCCCAGUAGUGGGGGAUAGCUCGGCGAAAGCCGGAUUAAUACCGCAUACGACCUGAGGGCGAAAGCGGGGGAUCUUCGGACCUCGCGCUAUUGGAGCGGCCGAUGGCAGAUUAGCUAGUUGGUGGGGUAAAGGCCUACCAAGGCGACGAUCUGUAGCUGGUCUGAGAGGACGACCAGCCACACUGGGACUGAGACACGGCCCAGACUCCUACGGGAGGCAGCAGUGGGGAAUUUUGGACAAUGGGCGAAAGCCUGAUCCAGCAAUGCCGCGUGUGUGAUGAAGGCCUUCGGGUUGUAAAGCACUUUUGGCGGGAACGAAAAGGACUGUGCCAAUACCACGGUUCGAUGACGGUACCCGCAGAAUAAGCACCGGCUAACUACGUG